Molecule: ribosomal RNA, 460 nt
Filed under: uncultured bacterium
Lineage: Bacteria
Description: partial 16S ribosomal RNA
Rfam family: Bacterial small subunit ribosomal RNA
Source: RNAcentral
CCUACGGGUGGCAGCAGUGAGGAAUAUUGGUCAAUGGGCUUACGCCUGAACCAGCCAAGUCGCGUGAGGGAAGACUGCCCUAUGGGUUGUAAACCUCUUUUGUCAGGGAGCAACGCCGGCUACGUGUAGCCGGACUGAGAGUACCUGAAGAAAACGCAUCGGCUAACUCCGUGCCAGCAGCCGCGGUAAUCCGGAGGAUGCGAGCGUUAUCCGGAUUUAUUGGGUUUAAAGGGUGCGUAGGCGGAAUGCCAAGUCAGCGGGAAAAGCCCGGGGCUCAACCCCGGCGAGCCGUUGAAACUGGCGGGCUGGAGUUGGAGAGAAGUACGCGGAAUGCGCGGUGUAGCGGUGAAAUGCUUAGAUAUCGCGCAGAACCCCGAUUGCGAAGGCAGCGUACCGGCUCCACACUGACGCUGAAGCACGAGAGCGUGGGUAGCGAACAGGAUUAGAUACCCGAGUAGUC